Molecule: long non-coding RNA, 1755 nt
Organism: Cavia porcellus (domestic guinea pig)
Lineage: Eukaryota; Metazoa; Chordata; Mammalia; Rodentia; Caviidae
Exons: 2
Source: RefSeq, a predicted model, not a curated record
UGAAAGUAGACCUCUCCUGGCUGUUUUCCUUGCCGUGCAAUCUAGGCCAUGAAGAAGGCACACACGUGAAAGCUUCAGGAGGGUGGAUCGUGGCUGGGUGAAAGGCCACUGCGGAGUUGGGUGAAUCGGGCCUUUUCAGGCACUACAGGAGGCGCCAGGGCGAAGGGCCUCUCCCGUUGGCCUUAAGAGCUCGAGGCUUGAGCCGAGACCCUUAGCCGCUGGAUAUGGAGCAAUGUGUGAAGUGUCCUGAUGACCAGUAUGCCACAAUACAGCGAGACCAUUGCCUCCAAAAGUCUGUGACUUUCCUUGCUUAUGAAGACCUCAUGGGGAAGAUGCUGGCUGGCACAGUCCUGAGUCUCAGUGUCCUCACAGUUGCUGUUCUUGGGCUUUUUGUGAAGAAUCGAGACACUCCCAUUCUCAAGGCCAACAACCAGGCUCUCAGCUACACCCUGCUCAUCUCCCUCGCCUCCUGCUUCUUCUGUUCCUUGCUCUUCACUGGCCACCCCAACACAGCCACCUGAAUCCCCCAGAAGACCACAAUUGCAGUUCUCUUCACUGUGGCUGUUUCUUCUGUCUUGGCCAAAACAAUUACUGUGGUGCUGGCCUUUAAGGUCACUGCUCCAGGCAGGAGGAUGAGGCAGUUGCUGGUAUCAGGGGCACCAAACUAUAUCAUCCCAAUCCGCACCCUGGUCCCACUCACUCUACGUGGAGUGUGGAUGGGGACAAACCCACUCUACAUUGACAUAGAUGCACACUCUGAGCAUGGAGAUGCAUAGGAAUGACAAGAUGUCUUCAGAUGAGUGAGGCACCAAGAUGGUGGCAGUUGAGUGGAAGAAUAAGAUGGCAGAGAGGGGGAGAAGUGACAAGAUGGUGGAGGAUGGGUGGCAGAAGUACUGCUGUGGUGUGAUGGAGGACAAAAUGGUGACAGUAGAGAUCAGAAGAAGGGGUGUAGGGAGAAAAAGAUGAAGAAAAAGACAGAGAAGAAUACAGCAGAGAAGAUGGAGGAGAUGCAGAUUGGGGCAAAAGACAAUGGGAAGAUUCUUAUGGGAAUGGUGGAGGAGUAAGAAUGGCAUGCAAUCAUCUAUAAGGUAAAUGAGACUUUUGGGUGUAGGGGGUUUGGCAGUGUAGGGUGAGCCAAGAGGACCUGGGUUACCUCACAUGUCUGGAUAAGGGAGGGACAUUCCUGGAGAGCAAAAAAGGCAUGGAAAUAAGGAAUCUCUGGUUGCCAUUAUAGUAGCAGAACUUCACUAAUUCAUGAAGGGUGGCAAAAUUGAAGGUAUCUGCCUCUGACCAGUGAUCACUGUCAAGAUUUUAAAGUGGCCAAGAUGUCUGCAUAAAAUAAUUUUCUGCAUUUUAAAGACUCCGAGAGACGUAGUAUGCCCAAGGACAAGACGGCCAUAGUUGAGAUAGCAUGCAACAUUCCACUUCAGUAUUACUUCAGGUAAGCAAAAAGACUGGAGUAAUCAGUUUGUAUUCUGUUUAUGCCAAGAUGAAGAAUGCCUGAAGAUCACAAACAAUACUACAAGCCAGUGCCAAAGAACCAGGGGCUAGUAGGUGAAACAGGCAUCAACUUCUCAUCUCCAAUAAUUUGAAGCAGUGGGAUCUUAUGACAGAAUUAAGACACAAAAAUCCAGCUAUGCCUGGAGGACAUCUUUGAGAAACAGUCAUUUCCUAAGGGUUCUCAACACAGUACAUAAAUAUAACUACCAUAAACAAUUUACAAGCAUGAAUAAAAUUAAAAUAAGAAUUAGAAAA